This 414-nucleotide ribosomal RNA is filed under the name Rossellomorea vietnamensis. RNAcentral describes it as "bacterial SSU rRNA". It matches the Rfam family "Bacterial small subunit ribosomal RNA", at positions 1 to 406 of the family's 1533-position model. The record is from RNAcentral. Lineage: Bacteria; Bacillati; Bacillota; Bacilli; Caryophanales; Bacillaceae.
UUUCGGAGAGUUUGAUCCUGGCUCAGGACGAACGCUGGCGGCGUGCCUAAUACAUGCAAGUCGAGCGGACUGAUGGGAGCUUGCUCCCUGAAGUCAGCGGCGGACGGGUGAGUAACACGUGGGUAACCUGCCUGUAAGACUGGGAUAACUCCGGGAAACCGGGGCUAAUACCGGAUAGUUCUUUUUCUCGCAUGAGGAAAAGUGGAAAGGCGGCUUCGGCUGCCACUUACAGAUGGACCCGCGGCGCAUUAGCUAGUUGGUGGGGUAACGGCUCACCAAGGCAACGAUGCGUAGCCGACCUGAGAGGGUGAUCGGCCACACUGGGACUGAGACACGGCCCAGACUCCUACGGGAGGCAGCAGUAGGGAAUCUUCCGCAAUGGACGAAAGUCUGACGGAGCAACGCCGCGUGAGU